Molecule: RNA transcript, 1600 nt
Organism: Vigna unguiculata (cowpea)
Lineage: Eukaryota; Viridiplantae; Streptophyta; Magnoliopsida; Fabales; Fabaceae
Gene name: flavin-containing monooxygenase FMO GS-OX-like 8
Source: RefSeq, a predicted model, not a curated record
UUCGUCUCUUUGCCUGGUUUUACUUCUUGAGCUCAUAAGUAAUGGUCUCUCGCUUGUUUAUUCAAUUUGUUUUCUAAAGUUUUCAGAAGCUUCUGAAAUUUCUGCAACCAUACAAAGAGGUAUGUGAUACUGUUAUUUUUUCUUUCAAAUUUCAUGUGAAAUUUCUCAUCUUCCUCUAAAGCAAUUUGACCUAUUUGUUAUUGUCUUCGUAAAACAGUAGUAAUUUUCUACUCUACUCUUUUUUUUUUUUUAUUUAGUGUCAUUGUUUGUAACUUUCAAUUCUAUUGAUUUGUUUUUUUUCAUUUUGAAACAAAAAAUCUAAUCACGAAUAAGCAUGGGUUUACGGUGAGAAAUUUUGCUACUGAAACCCUAAUCAAGGCUAAGUAUGGAUUUGUAGUGAGAAAUGCGACGUGCGUCGCCAUACGCUACACCUAGAGCUGAAAUUUUGUCAAAUCACAAUUUAAUGAUCAUGGUUUACCUUAGUGCCCAUUAGUUGACGUAUACAACUUACAUCAUAAUUUAAGGGCAACAAGAUAUAAAACAAGGAUAAUGUGCACCUAGAGCAUGUGGAUUUGUCUCUCAAGUGCAAGCUACGAGAGCAGAUAGUUGGACCAUCAGGGCUAGUAGCAGCUAGGGAGUUGAGAAAAGAGGGUUACAGGGUGGUUGUGUUAGAGAAGAAUCAUGAUGUUGGAGGGCAGUGGCUUUAUCAGGCAAAUGUGGAAGAAGAGGACCAUUUAGGGAGAAAGCCUUUUCUAAAGAAUGGAUACAUGGAAAAGAAAACAAAUGCAUAGUCACAUAUAUAGGACCCCAAAACCAUUCAAUAAUGAGAUUGUGGUGGUGGUUGGAAAUUCUUUGAGUGGGCAAGGAAUAUCAAUAGUGCUUGUGGAAGUAGCAAAGAAAGUCAACAUGAGUUUCAGAUCUCACUACAAGGCAUAUCAAUAGAUUUAUUUUUGUCAUCUUGUAUCCUUGAAUUGUAUAUAAUGCAUGAAUCAUUGUGACUUUUCUUCCCAACUCACUUCAAGGAAAGACUAACCGAUAAGAUUCUGAAAGUCAUUCGUUUAAAGCAAGCUCUUGCCAUUUUGUGCAUAUGAAUGUUGUGUAGUGAUUAAAUCAAAUGAUGUGGCUAUUGCAAUAGUAGAGAAAGUGGCUAAGGGUGCUAUCACCAAACUUCUUGUUGGAGCUUUAUCGUGUGGCAUAUUUGAAAGAUUUUGGGAAGGAUUGUAUUCUUGUGUAGAGAAGAUUUGAAGAGUUCUGUUAUUCAGGAGCAUAUAAAUAGAUUCUAGAAGGGGUUGCGGCAAGCGACCUUCUUUUAUAAGGAUUUUGAUGUUAAUGAUGUUAAAUUUGAUGUAAAUAAAGAUGUGGUUGAUGGUAUACUUGUGGAUGAGGUGGAGUCUAGCCUUGAGGAGGAUGUGGGGAAGAUGGCGGAGGCGGAGAAAGUAGAUGCAAAUCCUGAUGAUGCUGGGGAUGCGAAAGAUGCUUAAUAGGGGCGACUUAGGAUUCAUAUUUGAAUAUUUUCAAUUUGACUUUGAUUCUAAGUCUGUAUUGAUCCGUACAUUUUCUAUAUUUUCGUUAAUCCGUACACUAUCUUCUUUAUCGUUAA